GAUGAACGCUGACAGAAUGCUUAACACAUGCAAGUCAACUUGAAUUUGGGUUUUUAACUUAGGUUUGGGUGGCGGACGGGUGAGUAACGCGUAAAGAACUUGCCUCACAGCUAGGGACAACAUUUGUAAACGAAUGCUAAUACCUAAUAUUAUGAUAAUAGAGCAUCCUAUAAUUAUGAAAGCUAUAAGCGCUGUGAGAGAGCUUUGCGUCCCAUUAGCUAGUUGGAGAGGUAACGGCUCACCAAGGCGAUGAUGGGUAGCCGGCCUGAGAGGGUGAUCGGCCACAAGGGGACUGAGACACGGCCCUUACUCCUACGGGAGGCAACAGUGGGGAAUAUUGGACAAUGAACCAAGAGUCUGAUCCAGCAAUUCUGUGUGCACGAUGAAGUUUUUCGGAAAGUAAAGUGCUUUCAGUUGGGAAGAAAGAAAUGACGGUACCAACAGAAGAAGUGACGGCUAAAUACGUG
Molecule: ribosomal RNA, 467 nt
Filed under: uncultured bacterium
Lineage: Bacteria
Description: partial 16S ribosomal RNA
Rfam family: Bacterial small subunit ribosomal RNA
Source: RNAcentral